UAAGGUAGCAUAAUCGUUUGUCUUUUAAUUAAAGGCUGGAAUGAAAGGGGGGUCGAUAGUUAAGCUUUUUAAAAAUAAGGUGGAAAUUGAUAUCUGUAUGAAAAAGUAUAGCUUUUUAGGGGGACGAUAAGACCCUAUAAAACUUUAUUUUAUAUAUUAUUUUUGAUUUUGAAAUUUAAAAAUUUAAAUAAAAUUAAGCUGGGGCAGCAUCUAAAAUAUUUUAGAAGAUUCGACACUUUUGGGUGGCUUAGAAGAUCUUAGACAGAAGUAGAGAAGUUACUUUAGGGAUAACAGCACAAUUUUUUUGUAAAGACCACAUAGAGGGAAAAGACUUGUGACCUCGAUGUUGAAUUGAGGGGCCUUAUUAAAGCAGCCGUUAAUAUAGGGGGUCUGUUCGACCUUUAAUUCCUCA
Molecule: ribosomal RNA, 412 nt
Filed under: Oecidiobranchus sp. IA2 Desm03
Lineage: Eukaryota; Metazoa; Arthropoda; Malacostraca; Isopoda; Desmosomatidae
Description: partial 16S ribosomal RNA
Rfam family: Bacterial large subunit ribosomal RNA
Source: RNAcentral